GGCUUGGUACUUGUACAUCCCUUCAUUGUGUUUUUGUUCUCGAAUUCUUGUCUUUCAUUUUGCUGUGCUUUGUCUAUAUUCCUUUUGGUGUUUCAUUGAUACAUAUGACGUGGCUCUGUACUUAUACAUCCCGUUAUUGUGAUAUUGUAAAACAUUUUUGUAUUCUUUUCAUUCAUUUUUUCUUAUGUGCUUGUGCUUUGUCAAUAUGCCUUUUUUUUAUGUUUCCUUGAUACAUAUACGACGUUGUUCUGUACUUAUACAUCU
RNAcentral lists this long non-coding RNA (264 nucleotides) under Mytilus galloprovincialis (Mediterranean mussel). The record is from RNAcentral. Lineage: Eukaryota; Metazoa; Mollusca; Bivalvia; Mytilida; Mytilidae.